GUAGCCUGAUUGACUUUGCAAAUUUCAUUGGUUGACUUUCCAAACUUCACUGAUUUUGACAAUACAAACACAAAUGCUCCUUUCAGUUCCAAUAUUUUAGGUUCCCAAUGUCCAACCAUCUUCGUCCCAGUUCUCACUUGUCUUGUUUUGCUUGACAGUGGUUCUCAGAGGCCGGGAGACCUUCCACCUUCAGAAGAAACCCCAAUGGUCCUCAUGGCAUCCGAAGACAAUGGCCAAGCCAGCGAUCCAGGCGACUUCUCAUCCCGCAGUGAAGGAGACCCAGUCCUGCCUUCACCUUCUGCUACUUCCACUGGAUGAACAAUGAAUACAUCGUGGAAGAACAAAACAAAACAAAGCCAUGGUAGAUAUGGAGACAAGACAGCCGUCUGUCGGAAUCACAGAAUGGAAAGCUGUCUAGUCUUGAUGCAACAAGUGGGGUGGUGAUUCCCAUUGGGAAGCUUUUGAAAAGCGACCCUGGAAAUUAAUCUCAGGAUCUUACUGUUUUCUCUUUUCUGGUUGGACUUUUUGUUUCACUGCCUGGGUCCAGAGCAGCUCCAAUGUAAUGUUACAACUAUUCCUACCUCUCCAGAAGCACCUUCUUUUAAGUCCUUGUGUGCCUCCAAAAUGGCAGAACGAGAAGGCCAAAAAGAAAGCAACCGAGAAAGAGGGGAAAAGAGAGAAGACAUGAACCUGGGAGAAAAAACCUCUUAAGAGCAGCUUGGAUCAACUGUGAAGAGAUCUACACCAGCUUUUAAGAGAGAAGAAUUGACUGGUCCAGAGCCUUCUCUUGGAUCCAUUUGGAACUUGGGAGAGAAAAGAAAGAAGCAACCAUCUCAACUGCCAUUUCCCUGGUGUCGGGGGGAGAGAAGAAGGGCAGACACAUCUCCAUCAUGCUUGGACCUGGAAGAGGAAAGGCCAUCCAUCCCAUCUGCCACUGCCCUGUCCUUGGAUGGAGAAAAGGGUCAGGCAUGGCACCAUCGUGCCAAGGUCCAGAAGCAGAAGAAAAGCCCUCUCUCAUUCCCAACUGCCACUGACUUUAGAGGGAGGGAAAAAGCACAGAUCCAUCAUGUCUAGACUCAGAAGUAGAGGAAAGACCAUCCAUCCCAACUGCCACUGCCCUGUCCUUGGAUGGAGAGAAGAGGCAGGCAUGGCACCAUCAUGCCAAGGUCCAGAAGCAGAAGAAAAGCCCUCUCUCAUUCCCAACUGCCACUGGCUGCAUAGGGAGAGAAGAAGCACAGAUCCAUCAUGUCUAGACUCAGAAGUAGAGGAAAGGCCAUCCAUCCCAACUGCCACUGCCCUGUCCUUGGAUGGAGAGAAGAGGCAGGCAUGGCACCAUCAUGCCAAGGUCCAGAAGCAGAAGAAAAGCCCUCUCUCAUUCCCAACUGCCACUGGCUGCAUAGGGAGAGAAGAAGCACAGAUCCAUCAUGCCUAGACUCAGAAGUAGAGGAAAGGCCAUCCAUCCCAACUGCCACUGCCCUGUCCUUGGAUGGAGAGAAGAGGCAGGCAUGGCACCAUCAUGCCAAGGUCCAGAAGCAGAAGAAAAGCCCUCUCUCGUUCCCAACUGCCACUGGCUGCAUAGGGAGAGAAGAAGCACAGAUCCAUCAUGUCUAGACUCAGAAGUAGAGGAAAGGCCAUCCAUCCCAACUGCCACUGCCCUGUCCUUGGAUGGAGAGAAGAGGCAGGCAUGGCACCAUCAUGCCAAGGUCCAGAAGCAGAAGAAAAGCCCUCUCUCAUUCCCAACUGCCACUGGCUGCAUAGGGAGAGAAGAAGCACAGAUCCAUCAUGUCUAGACUCAGAAGUAGAGGAAAGGCCAUCCAUCCCAACUGCCACUGCCCUGUCCUUGGAUGGAGAGAAGAGGCAGGCAUGGCACCAUCAUGCCAAGGUCCAGAAGCAGAAGAAAAGCCCUCUCUCAUUCCCAACUGCCACUGGCUGCAUAGGGAGAGAAGAAGCACAGAUCCAUCAUGCCUAGACUCAGAAGUAGAGGAAAGGCCAUCCAUCCCAACUGCCACUGCCCUGUCCUUGGAUGGAGAGAAGAGGCAGGCAUGGCACCAUCAUGCCAAGGUCCAGAAGCAGAAGAAAAGCCCUCUCUCGUUCCCAACUGCCACUGGCUGCAUAGGGAGAGAAGAAGCACAGAUCCAUCAUGUCUAGACUCAGAAGUAGAGGAAAGGCCAUCCAUCCCAACUGCCACUGCCCUGUCCUUGGAUGGAGAGAAGAGGCAGGCAUGGCACCAUCAUGCCAAGGUCCAGAAGCAGAAGAAAAGCCCUCUCUCAUUCCCAACUGCCACUGGCUGCAUAGGGAGAGAAGAAGCACAGAUCCAUCAUGCCUAGACUCAGAAGUAGAGGAAAGGCCAUCUGUCCCAACUGCCACUGCCCUGUCCUUGGAUGGAAAGAAGAGGCAGACAUAGCAUAAUCAUGUCAAUGUCCAGAAGCAGAAGAAAAGCCCUCUCUCAUUCCCAACUGCCACUGACUUUAGAGGGAGGGAAAAAGCACAGAUCCAUCAUGUCUAGACUCAGAAGUAGAGGAAAGGCCAUCCAUCCCAACUGCCACUGCCCUGUCCUUGGAUGGAGAGAAGAGGCAGGCAUGGCACCAUCAUGCCAAGGUCCAGAAGCAGAAGAAAAGCCCUCUCUCAUUCCCAACUGCCACUGGCUGCAUAGGGAGAGAAGAAGCACAGAUCCAUCAUGUCUAGACUCAGAAGUAGAGGAAAGGCCAUCUGUCCCAACUGCCACUGCCCUGUCCUUGGAUGGAGAGAAGAGGCAGGCAUGGCACCAUCAUGCCAAGGUCCAGAAGCAGAAGAAAAGCCCUCUCUCGUUCCCAACUGCCACUGGCUGCAUAGGGAGAGAAGAAGCACAGAUUCAUCAUGUCUAGACUCAGAAGUAGAGGAAAGGCCAUCCAUCCCAACUGCCGCUGCCCUGUCCUUGGAUGGAGAGAAGAGGCAGGCAUGGCACCAUCAUGCCAAGGUCCAGAAGCAGAAGAAAAGCCCUCUCUCAUUCCCAACUGCCACUGGCUGCAUAGGGAGAGAAGAAGCACAGAUUCAUCAUGUCUAGACUCAGAAGUAGAGGAAAGGCCAUCCAUCCCAACUGCCGCUGCCCUGUCCUUGGAUGGAGAGAAGAGGCAGGCAUGGCACCAUCAUGCCAAGGUCCAGAAGCAGAAGAAAAGCCCUCUCUCAUUCCCAACUGCCACUGGCUGCAUAGGGAGAGAAGAAGCACAGAUUCAUCAUGUCUAGACUCAGAAGUAGAGGAAAGGCCAUCCAUCCCAACUGCCGCUGCCCUGUCCUUGGAUGGAGAGAAGAGGCAGGCAUGGCACCAUCAUGUCAAGGUCCAGAAGCAGAAGAAAAGCCCUCUCUCGUUCCCAUCUGCCACUGGCUGCAUAGGGAGAGAAGAAGCACAGAUCCAUCAUGUCUAGACUCAGAAGUAGAGGAAAGGCCAUCCAUCCCAACUGCCACUGCCCUGUCCUUGGAUGGAAAGAAGAGGCAGACAUAGCAUAAUCAUGUCAAUGUCCAGAAGCAGAAGAAAAGCCCUCUCUCACUCCCAACUGCCACUGACUUCAGAGGGAGAGAAGAAGCACAGAUCCAUCAUGCCUAGACUCAGAAGUAGAGGAAAGGCCAUCCAUCCCAACUGCCACUGCCCUGUCCUUGGAUGGAGAGAAGAGGCAGGCAUGGCACCAUCAUGCCAAGGUCCAGAAGCAGAAGAAAAGCCCUCUCUCGUUCCCAACUGCCACUGGCUGCAUAGGGAGAGAAGAAGCACAGAUCCAUCAUGUCUAGACUCAGAAGUAGAGGAAAGGCCAUCCAUCCCAACUGCCACUGCCCUGUCCUUGGAUGGAGAGAAGAGGCAGACAUAGCAUUAUUUCAAGGUCCAGAAGCAGAAGAAAAGCCCUCUCUCAUUCCCAACUGCCACUGACUUUAGAGGGAGGGAAGAAGCACAGAUCCAUCAUGCCUAGUAGAGGAAAGGCCAUCCAUCCCAACUGCCACUGCCCUGUCCUUGGAUGGAGAGAAGAGGCAGAUAUAGCAUAAUCAUGUCAAGGUCCAGGAGCAGAAGAAAGGCCCUCUCUCCACCCCAACUGUCACUAACCGUGCUGUGGAGGAAGAGCUCAUAUCUCAGCCCACGAGCAUAUGAAAGACCCUUCCUUCAUCCCGACUGCCACUGCCCUCACAGGGAGGAAAGAAAAGGAAGCAUCUGCUGAACUUGCUCCCUUCCCUUUUCCUUUUGUCAUGUCUUCCUUGGGUUGCAAACUGGAAGGCCACAAACUAAGCUAUUUUGUUCAACACUCCGCACAAAGAUGCCGCUAUAGACAUAUAUAUGAUAAGCUUUCAGUUGGGAGCAAGUGAGCAAAUAAGCAACUCAUCCAGUGAAAAGAAAGAUAACUCCUGAGACAUCCAUUGUACGUUCCAGGACAAACUUGGGCCCUCCAGGUGUUUUGGACUUCAACUCCCACAAUUCCUAACAGCCGGUAGGCUGUUAGGAAUUGUGGGAGUUGAAGUCCAAAACACCUGGAGGGCCCAAGUUUGCUCAUGCCUGUUCUAGGAAGUUAACUGGUUAGCAAGGAAACAAAAUGGGAGGAACAAUGAGAGUCGAGACAGUAUUGAUUCCUGGCACAGUGUUAAGUUUGCUCAGCCUUUAGAUCAGAACAGCUAUUUUGGGGCAGAGAAAGGGAAAAUAAAUACACCGUGAUGGAUAUUUUUCCCCCCAGCAUGUUAUUUCUAUUAUCGCAGUUACCACAGUAUCCAAUGUUAGGGACAGUUUUUGGGUUAACUUUAAUGCUAACUUUAAAAGAGGUAGUCUAGAUGGUGUGUUUUUAAUUUAUUUUUCAAAACGUGUUCAUUAUUUUCGUGCAUUUCUUAAAAGUUUUGCACAGAGGGAAGCACUUUCAGAGGACGUUGUUUUGUGUAUUUUUCAGAAUAUGUGUUCCGUUCCAAAUGCAGGUUUUUUGUUGUUGUUUUUUGCACAUUCUCACCUGUAAUAUAUUAAAAGUCUUGGAAGAGUUUUGUCACAACGUUUGCAAAUUCCCAUAUUAAAAUAUGGAUCCAGUCCCUUUCACAA
Molecule: long non-coding RNA, 5035 nt
Organism: Anolis carolinensis (green anole)
Lineage: Eukaryota; Metazoa; Chordata; Lepidosauria; Squamata; Anolidae
Exons: 2
Source: RefSeq, a predicted model, not a curated record